Molecule: unclassified non-coding RNA, 239 nt
Filed under: Hevea brasiliensis (rubber tree)
Lineage: Eukaryota; Viridiplantae; Streptophyta; Magnoliopsida; Malpighiales; Euphorbiaceae
Source: RNAcentral
AAAUAAGGACAUAAGGGACUUUGGCAGCCGAAGUAGGGGACUUAAGCAAUUAAAAUCCAUUUUUAACAAAUGAUAUUUUAUAGAGGAGACUUUGGCAAUCGAAGUAAGGACUUGUGUAGCUGAACCUAGGCUUCUAAAAGACAUUAUAACGGGUUUUUAAGUGAUUGAACGACUAUUUUUGCAUUUAAUGUACGUCAACAAUCUUUUUCUUGCUUAAACUAUAAACAGGGAGUGUUUAU